GUGCAGCAGUCGCGAAACCUCCGCAAUGCGGGAAACCGUGACGGGGUCACCCCGAGUGCCACCCGAUGAGGGUGGCUUUUCCCCGGUCUAAAAAGCCGGGGGCAAUAAGCGGGGGGCGAAGUCUGGUGUCAGCCGCCGCGGUAAUACCAGCCCGCGAGUGGUCGGGACGUUUAUUGGGCCUAAAGCGUCCGUAGCCGGCUCGGUAAGUCCCUCCUUAAAUCCACGGGCUCAACCCCGUGGGCUGGGAGGGAUACUGCCGGGCUAGGGGGCGGGGAGAGGCCGAGGGUACUCCCGGGGUAGGGGCGAAAUCCGUUAAUCCCGGGAGGACCACCGGUGGCGAAGGCGCUCGGCUGGAACGCGCCCGACGGUGAGGGACGAAAGCUGGGGGAGC
RNAcentral lists this ribosomal RNA (391 nucleotides) under uncultured microorganism. Its description in RNAcentral is "bacterial SSU rRNA". It matches the Rfam family "Archaeal small subunit ribosomal RNA", at positions 330 to 720 of the family's 1478-position model. The record is from RNAcentral.